AUACGUAGGUGGCAAGCGUUAUCCGGAUUUACUGGGUGUAAAGGGCGUGUAGGCGGGACUGCAAGUCAGAUGUGAAAAUUAUGGGCUCAACCCAUAACCUGCAUUUGAAACUGUGGUUCUUGAGUGAUGGAGAGGCAGGCGGAAUUCCGUGUGUAGCGGUGAAAUUCGUAGAUAUUCGGAAGAACACCAGUGGCGAAGGCGACUUACUGGACUGAAACUGACGCUGAGGCUCGAAAGCGUGGGGAGC
Molecule: ribosomal RNA, 247 nt
Filed under: uncultured bacterium
Lineage: Bacteria
Description: partial 16S ribosomal RNA
Rfam family: Bacterial small subunit ribosomal RNA
Source: RNAcentral